This 463-nucleotide ribosomal RNA is filed under the name uncultured bacterium. RNAcentral describes it as "bacterial SSU rRNA". It matches the Rfam family "Bacterial small subunit ribosomal RNA", at positions 32 to 470 of the family's 1533-position model. The record is from RNAcentral.
AAUCAACGCUGGCGGCGUGCCUCAGACAUGCAAGUCGAACGCGAAAGGCCCCUUCGGGGGCUGAGUAGAGUGGCGCACGGGUGAGUAACACGUAGGUAAUUUGCCUUCGGGUGGGGAAUAACUCAGGGAAACUUGAGCUAAUACCGCAUAAUGCAGCGGCUCGACAUCGAGACAGUUGUUAAAGCGGGGGAUCGUAAGACCUCGCGCCUGAAGAGAAGCCUGCGGCAGAUUAGCUAGUUGGUAGGGUAAUGGCCUACCAAGGCGACGAUCUGUAACCGGCCUGAGAGGGCGGGUCGGUCACACUGACACUGACAUACGGGUCAGACUCCUACGGGAGGCAGCAGUCGGGAAUUUUGGGCAAUGGGCGAAANCCUGACCCAGCAACGCCGCGUGAAGGAUGAAAUUUUUCGGAAUGUAAACUUCGCAAGAACGGGAAGAAUAAGUAGAAGAUAAUACCUUCUAU